AUAAAAGUUUGCCUUUAAAUCAACCGCAUAACGAGUGCAAAACAAAGUGCAUAGCCAAUUAAACAAACGAAAUACUAAAUGAAUUUCGCGCGGUGAUUCUUUGUUGAGUCAUUCAUCAGCAUCGUUUUGAUAGAUUAAUUCUCUGACUAGAUCGUUACGAGUAAUACGUACUUUGUGAGCAAUAAUUUUGUGCCAAGUUUGUAUGCACUCUAGCACGAUCGUUCCUCAAAUCAUCUAUAUUUUUAAUUCGCCGAUCAAUAUCGUAAGUUCGAGGGUAAUGCACUUAACUUAAGUGACUUAAUAACU
Long non-coding RNA from Bombus pyrosoma, 306 nucleotides. RefSeq lists it as uncharacterized. Lineage: Eukaryota; Metazoa; Arthropoda; Insecta; Hymenoptera; Apidae. The record is from RefSeq and is a predicted model, not a curated record. The transcript is spliced from 2 exons.